Molecule: ribosomal RNA, 482 nt
Filed under: uncultured bacterium
Lineage: Bacteria
Description: partial 16S ribosomal RNA
Rfam family: Bacterial small subunit ribosomal RNA
Source: RNAcentral
AUUGAACGCUGGCGGCAUGCUUUACACAUGCAAGUCGAACGGUAACAGGCCGCAAGGUGCUGACGAGUGGCUCACGGGUGUGUAAUGCAUCGGAACGUGCCCAGUCGUUGGGGAUAACUACUCGAAAGAGUAGCUAAUACCGCAUACGAUCUAUGGAUGAAAGCGGGUGACCGUAAUGCCUCGCGCGAUUUUAUCGGCCGAUGUCAGAUUAGGUAGUUGGUGGGGUAAAGGCUCACCAAGCCAACGAUCUGUAUCUGGUCUGAGAGUAAGACCAGCCACACUGGGACUGAGACACGGACCAGACUACUACGGGAGGCAGCAGUGGGGAAUUUUGGACAAUGGGCGAAAGCCUGAUCCAGCAAUGCCGCGUGCAGGAAGAAGGCCUUCGGGUUGUAAACUGCUUUUGUACGGAACGAAACGGCUCUGGUUAAUACCCGGGGCUAAUGACGGUACCGUAAGAAUAAGCACCGGCUAACUACGUG